RNAcentral lists this ribosomal RNA (241 nucleotides) under uncultured bacterium. RNAcentral describes it as "partial 16S ribosomal RNA". It matches the Rfam family "Bacterial small subunit ribosomal RNA", at positions 536 to 776 of the family's 1533-position model. The record is from RNAcentral.
GAGCGUUAAUCGGAAUUACUGGGCGUAAAGCGUGCGCAGGCGGCUUUGCAAGACAGAGGUGAAAUCCCCGGGCUCAACCUGGGAACUGCCUUUGUGACUGCAAGGCUAGAGUACGGCAGAGGGAGAUGGAAUUCCGCGUGUAGCAGUGAAAUGCGUAGAUAUGCGGAGGAACACCGAUGGCGAAGGCAAUCUCCUGGGCCUGUACUGACGCUCAUGCACGAAAGCGUGGGGAGCAAACAGG